This 789-nucleotide non-coding RNA is filed under the name Neopanorpa lui. The record is from RNAcentral. Lineage: Eukaryota; Metazoa; Arthropoda; Insecta; Mecoptera; Panorpidae.
AUAAAGUUUUAUUCUUGCUUAAGAAUUUAUUAUAAAUAUAUUUUACAUGUAAAUUUUUGUGUGAUCUAAUAAUUUUUCUAAAAGAAAUGUUAUUAUUUUUUUUUCAUUCACAGUAUUUGAUUUUAAUUUUUAAAAAAAUUUAGAAUUAGUGAUAUUUUAUAGUAUUGGUAAAUAUCGUGCCAGCUACCGCGGUUAUACGAAAGAUACAAAUAAAUUUUAUUAGAUAAUAGUUAAUCAUUUAUAAUAAAAAUUAUAUUAUAAAUUAUUAAGUGAAAUUUUAUUUUAUUAAAUAUUUUUAUAAAUUAGAUGAAGCUAUGAAAUUUAAAUGCAAAACUAGGAUUAGAUACCCUAUUAUUCUAUAAGUAAAUAAAAUUUCUGGAGUAGUAAUAGUUAUAAUCUUGAAACUUAAAGAAUUUGGCGGUGUUUUAGUCUUUUCAGAGGAACCUGUUCCGUAAUCGAUAAUCCACGUUUAACCUUACUUAAAUUAAUAAUAUGUAUACCGUCGUCAUCAGAAUGUCUUAAAAGAGGAUUUAAUUUUCUUAAUAUAUAAUUAUAUUUUAUGUCAGAUCAAGGUGCAGUUUAUAUUUAAGUGGAAAUGGGUUACAUUAAUUAAAUUUAUAUGAAUUAAAAAUUGAAAAAUUUUUAUGAAAGUGGAUUUGAUAGUAAAUAAAUAAAUAUAAUUUUAUUGAUUUUAGCUCUAAAACAUGCACACAUCGCCCGUCGCUCUCGUUAUUUAAAAUGAGAUAAGUCGUAACAUAGUAGUCGUACCGGAAGGUGUGUCUAGAAAGA